This 465-nucleotide ribosomal RNA is filed under the name Vreelandella stevensii. RNAcentral describes it as "partial 16S ribosomal RNA". It matches the Rfam family "Bacterial small subunit ribosomal RNA", at positions 338 to 795 of the family's 1533-position model. Lineage: Bacteria; Pseudomonadati; Pseudomonadota; Gammaproteobacteria; Oceanospirillales; Halomonadaceae. The record is from RNAcentral.
CCUACGGGAGGCAGCAGUGGGGAAUAUUGGACAAUGGGCGAAAGCCUGAUCCAGCCAUGCCGCGUGUGUGAAGAAGGCCUUCGGGUUGUAAAGCACUUUCAGUGGGGAAGAAAGCCUUGGGGCUAAUACCCUCGAGGAAGGACAUCACCCACAGAAGAAGCACCGGCUAACUCCGUGCCAGCAGCCGCGGUAAUACGGAGGGUGCGAGCGUUAAUCGGAAUUACUGGGCGUAAAGCGCGCGUAGGCGGUCUGAUAAGCCGGUUGUGAAAGCCCCGGGCUCAACCUGGGAACGGCAUCCGGAACUGUCAGGCUAGAGUGCAGGAGAGGAAGGUAGAAUUCCCGGUGUUGCGGUGAAAUGCGUAGAGAUCGGGAGGAAUACCAGUGGCGAAGGCGGCCUUCUGGACUGACACUGACGCUGAGGUGCGAAAGCGUGGGUAGCAAACAGGAUUAGAUACCCCAGUAGUC